This 71-nucleotide transfer RNA is filed under the name Loxodonta africana (African savanna elephant). It matches the Rfam family "tRNA". Rfam says of the family: Transfer RNA (tRNA) molecules are approximately 80 nucleotides in length. The record is from Rfam by way of RNAcentral. Lineage: Eukaryota; Metazoa; Chordata; Mammalia; Proboscidea; Elephantidae.
GUAUUGAUGGUUUAGUGGUAAAAUUCUAGCCUCUCAUGCUGGAGACCUGGGUUCAAUUCUCAGCCAAGGCA